Molecule: ribosomal RNA, 429 nt
Filed under: uncultured archaeon
Lineage: Archaea
Description: bacterial SSU rRNA
Rfam family: Archaeal small subunit ribosomal RNA
Source: RNAcentral
CACCAGCCCCUCGAGUGGUGGGGAUGAUUAUUUGGCCUAAAGCGUCCGUAGCCGGCCGGGUAAGUUUCCCGUUAAAUCCAACGUCUCAAGCGUUGGACUGCGGGAAAUACUGCCUGGCUAGAGAGUGGGAGAGGUCAGCGGUAUUCUGGGGGUAGGGGCGAAAUCCUUUGAUCCCCGGAGGACCACCAGUGGCGAAGGCUGCUGACUAGAACACGUCUGACGGUCAGGGACGAAAGCUGGGGUAGCGAACCGGAUUAGAUACCCGGGUAGUCCCAGCCGUAAACGAUGCAUGCUAGGUGUUGGGUUGGCCACGAGCCACCCCAGUGCCGCAGGGAAGCCGUUAAGCAUGCCGCCUGGGAAGUACGAUCGCAAGAUUGAAACUUAAAGGAAUUGGCGGGGGAGCACCACCAGGCGUGAAGCCUGCGGUUU